AGUGAACGCUGGCGGUAGGCCUAACACAUGCAAGUCGAACGGCAGCACAGUAAGAGCUUGCUCUUACGGGUGGCGAGUGGCGGACGGGUGAGGAAUACAUCGGAAUCUACUUUUUCGUGGGGGAUAACGUAGGGAAACUUACGCUAAUACCGCAUACGACCUACGGGUGAAAGCAGUGGAUCUUCGGACCUUGCGCGAUUGAAUGAGCCGAUGUCGGAUUAGCUAGUUGGCGGGGUAAAGGCCCACCAAGGCGACGAUCCGUAGCUGGUCUGAGAGGAUGAUCGGCCACACUGGAACGGAGACAGGGUCCAGACUCCUACGGGAGGCAGCAGUGGGGAAUAUUGGACAAUGGGCGCAAGCCUGAUCCAGCCAUACCGCGUGGGUGACGAAGGCCUUCGGGUUGUAAAGCCCUUUUGUUGGGAAAGAAAAGCAGCAGGUUAAUACCCCGCUGUUCUGACGGUACCCAAAGAAUAAGCACCGGCUAACUUCGUG
RNAcentral lists this ribosomal RNA (492 nucleotides) under uncultured bacterium. RNAcentral describes it as "partial 16S ribosomal RNA". It matches the Rfam family "Bacterial small subunit ribosomal RNA", at positions 29 to 507 of the family's 1533-position model. The record is from RNAcentral.